CAAGUCGAACGAAGUAGCAAUACUUAGUGGCAGACGGGUGAGUAACAUGUGGGUAUCUACCCUUUGGCCUGGAAUAACACGAGGAAACUUGUGCUAAUACCGGAUAAGUCUUUACGGAGAAAGCUUUAUGCACCAUUGGAUGAGCCCGCACUUGAUUAGUUUGUUGGUAGGGUAAUGGCCUACCAAGACUAUGAUCAAUAGCUGAUUUGAGAGGAUGAUCAGCCACAUUGGGACUGAGACACGGCCCAAACUCCUACGGGAGGCAGCAGUGGGGAAUCUUGCACAAUGGAGGAAACUCUGAUGCAGCGAUGCCGCGUGAGUGAAGAAGGCCUUUGGGUUGUAAAGCUCUUUCGUCGGGGAAGAAAAUGACUGUACCCGAAUAAGAAGGUCCGGCUAACUUCGUGCCAGCAGCCGCGGUAAUACGAAGGGACCUAGCGUAGUUCGGAAUUACUGGGCUUAAAGAGUUCGUAGGUGGUUGAAAAAGUUGGUGGUGAAAUCCCAGAGCUUAACUCUGGAACUGCCAUCAAAACUUUUCAGCUAGAGUAUGAUAGA
RNAcentral lists this ribosomal RNA (552 nucleotides) under uncultured bacterium. Its description in RNAcentral is "bacterial SSU rRNA". It matches the Rfam family "Bacterial small subunit ribosomal RNA", at positions 58 to 655 of the family's 1533-position model. The record is from RNAcentral.